UCUAGUGAUGAUGGCAAAGAGGUCACACCCGUUCCCAUACCGAACACGGAAGUUAAGCUCUUUAGCGCCGAUGGUAGUUGGGGGCUUCCCCCUGUGAGAGUAGGAUGUCGCUAGGC
RNAcentral lists this ribosomal RNA (116 nucleotides) under Lysinibacillus sphaericus. RNAcentral also lists the same sequence under 1 other name. The record is from RNAcentral. Lineage: Bacteria; Bacillati; Bacillota; Bacilli; Caryophanales; Bacillaceae.